CCUACGGGAGGCAGCAGUGAGGAAUAUUGGUCAAUGGGCGAGAGCCUGAACCAGCCAAGUCGCGUGAGGGAGUACUGCCCUCUGGGUUGUAAACCUCUUUUGUCGGGGAGCAAAAGCCGGACGUGUCCGGCUUUGAGAGUACCCGAAGAAAAAGCAUCGGAUAACUCCGUGCCAGCAGCCGCGGUAAUACGGAGGAUGCGAGCGUUAACCGGCUUUAUUUGGUUUAAAGGGUGCGCAGGCGGAUUUUUAAGUCAGCGGUCCAAUCGUGGGGCUCAACCCCAUCCAGCCGUUGACACUGGGGAUCUAGAGUGUGCGAGAGGUAUGCGGAAUGCGUGGUGUAGCGGUGAAAUGCAUAGAUAGCACGCAGAACCCCGAUUGCGAAGGCAGCAUACCGGUGCACAACUGACGCUCAGGCACGAAAGCGUGGGUAUCGAACAGGAUUAGAUACCCUAGUAGUC
This 458-nucleotide ribosomal RNA is filed under the name uncultured bacterium. RNAcentral's name for it is "partial 16S ribosomal RNA". It matches the Rfam family "Bacterial small subunit ribosomal RNA", at positions 338 to 795 of the family's 1533-position model. The record is from RNAcentral.